RNAcentral lists this non-coding RNA (779 nucleotides) under Davidius lunatus. Lineage: Eukaryota; Metazoa; Arthropoda; Insecta; Odonata; Gomphidae. The record is from RNAcentral.
UAAAAGUUUUAUUCUUGCUAUUUGCUUAUUUUAUGAUCAUUUUACAUGUGAGGUUUAAUUUUAGAGAUUUAUAGUCUAAAUGACUGUUAAUUUUAUUUUGCAGUAAUACGUAUUAUUAUUUUAAGGUAACUUAGAAGUAGUGAUUUAUAAAUUUCUGGUAAAAGUCGUGCCAGCCACCGCGGUUAUACGUGAAGAGUAAGUAAGCAUUAUUGGCUUCAUAGUUAAUGAGGAAGUUUUUUAUAAAAUGAUAUGUUUAUUAGGUGAAAUUUUAAUUUUCUAUUAUUUAUAUUAUGUGAAGCUAUGAAAUUUAUAUUAAAAACAAGGAUUAGAUACCCUUUUAUUAUAAAAGUGAAGAAUUAAAGCCAGGGUAGUAUUAGUUAUGCUCUUUAAACCCAGAGAAUUUGGCGGUAUUUUAGUCCUUUCAGAGGAAUCUGUCCCGUAAUCGACAACCCACGUGAAAUGUUUACCUAGUUUUGUUUAGCAGUUUGUAUACCUCCGUCAUAAGAGAAUCUUUCUAGAGUUAAAUUUUCUUAAUAUAUUUGUUAUACUAUGUCAGGUCAAGGUGCAGCUUAUAAUUAGGUGGAGAUGGAUUACAAUAUUUAUAUGUAUACGAAGUGAAAUAGUUGUCUUUUUUAUGAAGGUGGAUUUGAUAGUAAUUUUAAUUAUUUAUUAUUUUGAUUUUGGCUCUAAAAUAUGCACACAUCGCCCGUCGCUCUCAUUUUUAAAAUGAGAUAAGUCGUAACAUAGUAGGUGUAUCGGAAGAUGUACCUAGUAAGUAU